UACGUAGGGGGCUAGCGUUGUCCGGAAUCAUUGGGCGUAAAGCGCGUGUAGGCGGUCCGGUAAGUCCGCUGUGAAAGUCGGGGGCUCAACCCUCGGAUGCCGGUGGAUACUGUCGGGCUUGAGUACGGAAGAGGCGAGUGGAAUUCCUGGUGUAGCGGUGAAAUGCGUAGAUAUUGGGAGGAACACCAGUGGCGAAGGCGGCUCACUGGACCGGUACUGACGCUGAUGCGCGAAAGCGUGGGGAGCAAACAGG
This 253-nucleotide ribosomal RNA is filed under the name uncultured bacterium. RNAcentral's name for it is "partial 16S ribosomal RNA". It matches the Rfam family "Bacterial small subunit ribosomal RNA", at positions 524 to 776 of the family's 1533-position model. The record is from RNAcentral.